UGGGGAAUAUUGGACAAUGGGCGAAAGCCUGAUCCAGCCAUGCCGCGUGAGUGACGAAGGCCUUAGGGUUGUAAAACUCUUUCGUCGGGGACGAUAAUGACGGUACCCGAAGAAGAAGCUCCGGCUAACUUCGUGCCAGCAGCCGCGGUAAUACGAAGGGAGCUAGCGUUGUUCGGAAUCACUGGGCGUAAAGCGCACGUAGGCGGAUAGUUAAGUCAGGGGUGAAAUCCUGGGGCUCAACCCCAGAACUGCCUUUGAUACUGGCUGUCUCGAGGUCGAGAGAGGUUGGUGGAAUUCUUGGUGUAGCGGUGAAAUGCGUAGAUAUCAAGAGGAACACCUGAGGUGAAGACGGGUUGCUGGGCUGACACUGACGCUGAGGCGCGAAAAGCCAGGGGGA
RNAcentral lists this ribosomal RNA (397 nucleotides) under uncultured bacterium. RNAcentral describes it as "bacterial SSU rRNA". It matches the Rfam family "Bacterial small subunit ribosomal RNA", at positions 355 to 768 of the family's 1533-position model. The record is from RNAcentral.